UUUCCCUUUACAGCACAUAAUAUUAACUGAUUCAAGGAAUCUAGAGGAAUUUCUGUACAUAAAGGGCAAGGGUGCAAGCCUAAGCUGAACACCCAUGAUCUCUGAUCCCUCGACAGCACUGCAUCAAGAACAGUCAUUCAUCAACAGCUGGUAUAACCACAUGCAAGGGAUUACUUUGGGAAUUUUUUGUCAAGCACUAAAAUACAGAGUUAUGGGGCAAAAAAGAUGCCUUACAGCAAAACUGUCCAGAAGCAACAGACUUCUAUGGGCUUGGAGGCAUCUGGGUUGGACCAUCACACAGUGGAAAUGUGUAAUGUAAUCAGACAAAUUGGUAUUCCAGAUGUUUUACUGAAAGAAAUAUACAUAGUAUGCUUCAGAACAAAGACAAAAAGGACCAUCCAGAAUGUUAUCAGAAACAAGUCCAAAAGCCAAGAUCAUUUAGACUUCUGUGAUGGCAGCAUAAAUGCAGAAAAGCACAUUUUGGGCAACAUGUGCUUCAAGAUUCUAUUUUUUCCAGGGAUGUCCAUGCAUCAUUCAACAUGACUGCAGAACUACAUUUCGCAUACAUUACAAAGGCAAGGCUGAGCAAGAAGAGGAUAAGGAUACGGAUACUGGAUCGGCCUGUCUGCAGUCCUGAC
Long non-coding RNA from Thalassophryne amazonica, 638 nucleotides. RefSeq lists it as uncharacterized. The record is from RefSeq and is a predicted model, not a curated record. NCBI's taxonomy places the organism in Eukaryota, Metazoa, Chordata, Actinopteri, Batrachoidiformes, Batrachoididae. The transcript has 3 exons.